UUAAGCGACUAAGCGUACACGGUGGAUGCCCUGGCAGUCAGAGGCGAUGAAGGACGUGCUAAUCUGCGAAAAGCGUCGGUAAGGUGAUAUGAACCGUUACAGCCGGCGAUGUCCGAAUGGGGAAACCCAGUGCAAUUCGUUGCACUAUCGUUAACUGAAUACAUAGGUUAACGAGGCGAACCGGGGGAACUGAAACAUCUAAGUACCCCGAGGAAAAGAAAUCAACCGAGAUUCCCCCAGUAGCGGCGAGCGAACGGGGAGCAGCCCAGAGUCUGAAUCAGCUUGUGUGUUAGUGGAACGGUCUGGAAAGUCCGACGGUACAGGGUGAUAGUCCCGUACACCAAAAUGCACAGGCUGUGAACUCGAAGAGUAGGGCGGGACACGUGGUAUCCUGUCUGAAUAUGGGGGGACCAUCCUCCAAGGCUAAAUACUCCUGACUGACCGAUAGUGAACCAGUACCGUGAGGGAAAGGCGAAAAGAACCCCGGCGAGGGGAGUGAAAAAGAACCUGAAACCGUGUACGUACAAGCAGUGGGAGCACCUUCGGGUGUGACUGCGUACCUUUUGUAUAAUGGGUCAGCGACUUAUAUUCUGUAGCAAGGUUAACCGUAUAGGGGAGCCGCAGGGAAACCGAGUCUUAACUGGGCGUUAAGUUGCAGGGUAUAGACCCGAAACCCGGUGAUCUAGCCAUGGGCAGGUUGAAGGUUGGGUAACACUAACUGGAGGACCGAACCGACUAAUGUUGAAAAAUUAGCGGAUGACUUGUGGCUGGGGGUGAAAGGCCAAUCAAACCGGGAGAUAGCUGGUUCUCCCCGAAAGCUAUUUAGGUAGCGCCUCGUGAAUUCAUCUUCGGGGGUAGAGCACUGUUUCGGCUAGGGGGUCAUCCCGACUUACCAACCCGAUGCAAACUGCGAAUACCGAAGAAUGUUAUCACGGGAGACACACGGCGGGUGCUAACGUCCGUCGUGAAGAGGGAAACAACCCAGACCGCCAGCUAAGGUCCCAAAGUCAUGGUUAAGUGGGAAACGAUGUGGGAAGGCACAGACAGCCAGGAUGUUGGCUUAGAAGCAGCCAUCAUUUAAAGAAAGCGUAAUAGCUCACUGGUCGAGUCGGCCUGCGCGGAAGAUGUAACGGGGCUAAACCAUGCACCGAAGCUGCGGCAGCGACACUAUGUGUUGUUGGGUAGGGGAGCGUUCUGUAAGCCUGCGAAGGUGUGCUGUGAGGCAUGCUGGAGGUAUCAGAAGUGCGAAUGCUGACAUAAGUAACGAUAAAGCGGGUGAAAAGCCCGCUCGCCGGAAGACCAAGGGUUCCUGUCCAACGUUAAUCGGGGCAGGGUGAGUCGACCCCUAAGGCGAGGCCGAAAGGCGUAGUCGAUGGGAAACAGGUUAAUAUUCCUGUACUUGGUGUUACUGCGAAGGGGGGACGGAGAAGGCUAUGUUAGCCGGGCGACGGUUGUCCCGGUUUAAGCAUGUAGGCUGGUUGUCCAGGCAAAUCCGGAUAAUCAAGGCUGAGGUGUGAUGACGAGGCACUACGGUGCUGAAGUAACAAAUGCCCUGCUUCCAGGAAAAGCCUCUAAGCAUCAGGUAACAUUAAAUCGUACCCCAAACCGACACAGGUGGUCAGGUAGAGAAUACCAAGGCGCUUGAGAGAACUCGGGUGAAGGAACUAGGCAAAAUGGUGCCGUAACUUCGGGAGAAGGCACGCUGGUGUGUAGGUGAAGUCCCUGCGGAUGGAGCUGAGACCAGUCGAAGAUACCAGCUGGCUGCAACUGUUUAUUAAAAACACAGCACUGUGCAAACACGAAAGUGGACGUAUACGGUGUGACGCCUGCCCGGUGCCGGAAGGUUAAUUGAUGGGGUUAUCCGUAAGGAGAAGCUCUUGAUCGAAGCCCCGGUAAACGGCGGCCGUAACUAUAACGGUCCUAAGGUAGCGAAAUUCCUUGUCGGGUAAGUUCCGACCUGCACGAAUGGCGUAAUGAUGGCCAGGCUGUCUCCACCCGAGACUCAGUGAAAUUGAACUCGCUGUGAAGAUGCAGUGUACCCGCGGCAAGACGGAAAGACCCCGUGAACCUUUACUAUAGCUUGACACUGAACAUUGAGCCUUGAUGUGUAGGAUAGGUGGGAGGCUUUGAAGCGUGGACGCCAGUCUGCGUGGAGCCAACCUUGAAAUACCACCCUUUAAUGUUUGAUGUUCUAACGUUGGCCCCUUACCGGGGUUGCGGACAGUGUCUGGUGGGUAGUUUGACUGGGGCGGUCUCCUCCCAAAGCGUAACGGAGGAGCACGAAGGUUAGCUAAUCCUGGUCGGACAUCAGGAGGUUAGUGCAAUGGCAUAAGCUAGCUUGACUGCGAGCGUGACGGCGCGAGCAGGUGCGAAAGCAGGUCAUAGUGAUCCGGUGGUUCUGAAUGGAAGGGCCAUCGCUCAACGGAUAAAAGGUACUCCGGGGAUAACAGGCUGAUACCGCCCAAGAGUUCAUAUCGACGGCGGUGUUUGGCACCUCGAUGUCGGCUCAUCACAUCCUGGGGCUGAAGUAGGUCCCAAGGGUAUGGCUGUUCGCCAUUUAAAGUGGUACGCGAGCUGGGUUUAGAACGUCGUGAGACAGUUCGGUCCCUAUCUGCCGUGGGCGCUGGAGAAUUGAGGGGGGCUGCUCCUAGUACGAGAGGACCGGAGUGGACGCAUCACUGGUGUUCGGGUUGUCAUGCCAAUGGCACUGCCCGGUAGCUAAAUGCGGAAGAGAUAAGUGCUGAAAGCAUCUAAGCACGAAACUUGCCCCGAGAUGAGUUCUCCCUGAGACUUUAAGUCUCCUGAAGGAACGUUAAAGACGAUGACGUUGAUAGGCCGGGUGUGUAAGCGCAGCGAUGCGUUGAGCUAACCGGUACUAAUGAACCGUGAGGCUUAACCUU
Molecule: ribosomal RNA, 2900 nt
Filed under: Klebsiella aerogenes
Lineage: Bacteria; Pseudomonadati; Pseudomonadota; Gammaproteobacteria; Enterobacterales; Enterobacteriaceae
Also listed under: 2 other names
Description: 23S ribosomal RNA
Rfam family: Bacterial large subunit ribosomal RNA
Source: RNAcentral